RNAcentral lists this ribosomal RNA (503 nucleotides) under uncultured bacterium. Its description in RNAcentral is "partial 16S ribosomal RNA". It matches the Rfam family "Bacterial small subunit ribosomal RNA", at positions 30 to 523 of the family's 1533-position model. The record is from RNAcentral.
AUUGAACGCUGGCGGCAGGCUUAACACAUGCAAGUCGAGCGGGGUGAUGGUGCUUGCACUAUCACUUAGCGGCGGACGGGUGAGUAAUGCUUAGGAAUCUGCCUAUUAGUGGGGGACAACAUCUCGAAAGGGAUGCUAAUACCGCAUACGUCCUACGGGAGAAAGCAGGGGAUCACUUGUGACCUUGCGCUAAUAGAUGAGCCUAAGUCGGAUUAGCUAGUUGGUGGGGUAAAGGCCUACCAAGGCGACGAUCUGUAGCGGGUCUGCGAGGAGGAGCCGCCACACUGGGACGUAGACACGGCCCAGACUCCUACGGGAGGCAGCAGUGGUGAAUAUUGGACAAUGGGGGGAACCCUGAUCCAGCCAUGCCGCGUGUGUGAAGAAGGCCUUAUGGUUGUAAAGCACUUUAAGCGAGGAGGAGGCUCUUUUGGUUAAUACCCAAGAUGAGUGGACGUUACUCGCAGAAUAAGCACCGGCUAACUCUGUGCCAGCCGCCGCGGUAA